Molecule: ribosomal RNA, 444 nt
Filed under: uncultured soil bacterium
Lineage: Bacteria
Description: bacterial SSU rRNA
Rfam family: Bacterial small subunit ribosomal RNA
Source: RNAcentral
AGAUUGAACGCUGGCGGAAUGCUUUACACAUGCAAGUCGAGCGGCAGCGCGGGGCAACCUGGCGGCGAGCGGCGAACGGGUGAGUAAUGCAUCGGAACAUGUCCAUUCGUGGGGGAUAGCCCGGCGAAAGCCGGAUUAAUACCGCAUACGCCCUUAGGGGGAAAGCCGGGGACCGCAAGGCCUGGCGCGAAUGGGUUGGCCGAUGCCCGAUUAGCUAGUUGGCGGGUAAUGGCCCACCAAGGCGAUGAUCGGUAGCUGGUCUGAGAGGAUGAUCAGCCACACUGGGACUGAGACACGGCCCAGACUCCUACGGGAGGCAGCAGUGGGAAUUUGGACAAGUGGGGGCAACCGUGAUCCAGCCAUUCCGCGUGAGUGAAGAGGCCUUGGGUGUAAGUCUCGUUUGUCCGGUAACGAACGGUUGUGGUAGAAUUACGCCACGACUAC